This 305-nucleotide ribosomal RNA is filed under the name uncultured bacterium. Its description in RNAcentral is "bacterial SSU rRNA". It matches the Rfam family "Bacterial small subunit ribosomal RNA", at positions 338 to 640 of the family's 1533-position model. The record is from RNAcentral.
CCUACGGGAGGCAGCAGUGAGGAAUAUUGGUCAAUGGGCGGAAGCCUGAACCAGCCAAGUCGCGUGAGGGAAUAAGGCCCUACGGGUCGUAAACCUCUUUUGCCGGGGAGCAAGGGCCGGGACGCGUCCCGGCCCGGAGAGUACCCGGAGAAAAAGCAUCGGCUAACUCCAUGCCAGCAGCCGCGGUAAUACGGAGGAUGCGAGCGUUCUCCGGAUUUAUUGGUUUUAAAGGGUGCGUAGGCGGGCUUUUAAUUCAGCGGUAAAAAUUCGUGGCUCAACCCCGUCCGGCCGUUGAAACUGGGGGC